This 935-nucleotide long non-coding RNA is filed under the name Arachis ipaensis. RNAcentral's name for it is "long non-coding RNA (AIPA_LNC000729)". Lineage: Eukaryota; Viridiplantae; Streptophyta; Magnoliopsida; Fabales; Fabaceae. The record is from RNAcentral.
UGAGGUUUCAUCCAAUAGUAUGAAAUUACUCAUUUUUCUUUUAUUAGUUACAUGCUGGCCAAAAUUUAAUAAAAUUGUUGACUCCUAGACUUUUCCUAUCUAUACUCCCCUUAUACCUAGCCAACUCCAAAAGCUAUAUAUAUAUAUAUAAUAUAGGGAUCAAUAUAAUGCAUAUAUAAUGUACAUGUAUGUAGCUAAACAUAUGCUACAUACAUACUGUAAUUUAAUUCGUAUCAAAAUGCAUUGAUUAAGAAUAAAUGUACAAAAAAUGACUAGAUAAAAGGAACUGAUGGUGGCGCAGCAGUGUUUUCUCAAGCAGGGAGGCGCAUGAGAAUUGAACAAUAAUAAUCUUUGUCUAUACCAAAAAGAUUUUCUAAAACGAGAAAAAGAGAAAAGAAGAAACUUGGGAUGAAAAUUUAAUUAUGGAUGGGAGGAUUCUUCUUUGCAGGCGUGUAGUCCAUUGUAUCUAUGUCACCACUAAUAAUCUCUUGUGUUCCUUCAUGGUUCCGCUUGAACACAUUACUUUGAUGACCCUUCUCACCAUCAUCAACUCCAUUCUUGUUAGUAGCAAUCUCUCGCAAACUUCUUCCUGCAAUAACCAUACCAAAAGAACCAACACAUAAAUGAUACUAUACUACAUAGAACAUAAUAAUAAUAAAUUAAAUUACUCUCACCUCUAGCUGUCAUGGACAUGAAGCAUAGCAAAAGAAAAGCAACAACAAGAAGAAGGCGAUUCAUUGGUAACAACAACAUAGCCAUGUUAUAUAUAUAAUUCUUACUUAAUAAUAAUAAUAAAUAAUAUAUACCCUCUUAUUACUAUUAUUAUUGUUUUGCUAUUAUUAUUAUAUCUCUAUGGUGUAAACUAAGUAAUACAUACAAAACAUGGUUGCGUGUGUAUAGUUAUAUAUGCUCUUUAUAUAGGUAAAGAGGAGGUU